Anolis carolinensis (green anole) is the source of this 839-nucleotide long non-coding RNA. RefSeq lists it as uncharacterized. NCBI's taxonomy places the organism in Eukaryota, Metazoa, Chordata, Lepidosauria, Squamata, Anolidae. The transcript is spliced from 3 exons. The record is from RefSeq and is a predicted model, not a curated record.
GAAGGAGGGAGGGAAGCGCGGCCCGCUCCGCCCCCUCGGCGCCGCCAUCUUGGCUCCCCUCGCAGAGGGAAGAAGACGGCAGAGAGCGGCGUCUCCCUCGACGGGCCUGUUUUAGUCUGGGAAAGGCAUUUCUUACUUCAGGGAACCAGGCUGCCUAUAAAUUAUAAAAGAGGAAACGGAAUAUCAUGCAUGGCAGUGAUACGGAGUGCAAAUCUCCAGAAGGCACUCACUAAGGAGCUCAAACUGCAAUGAAGCAAAAGGAAAGGAACAAAUAAGACCAGGGGAGAGGUUUCAGAGACAGUAAUACACUAAUCAGGAGGAGGUGCAGGAGCUUUGAAAAGGAAACCUUUGGCCGCAUACAAAAUGAAUAUACACAUCUGAUAAUGAAAGCGGUCAGAAAGCAACCAAGAUCUCAGAAGCAGCAGGAGCAAGGAUUGCUGGGGAUUACCUGCCUUCAAUUGUUCCAGAUAAAGAGAAAUGGUUUUACCACUACAACCCAAACUCAACCAGGACACCCUAUUGAAAUGUGGCAUUUGCAAUAAAACAUCUGGUACUCAUCUUCUGCCAAUUGUGCUGAACCUAUUUUGGUGCUAGACUUCUGAAAACCAGGUAUAACUCUGCUAAAGUUCAUGUGGUCGAACCCGAGCGACCAUUUGCAUUCAGCUUAAUCUGACCUGCAGCAGGGAGUUCCGCCGAUCUGAAGGAGCCAUGUUGGAAUCAAUCUGACCAUGCUUGCGUGCCCCAGCAGCAACUUAAGAUGUAUUUUUUGCUCUUUCUCUGUGCCUUCCAAACUUUUAACUAUGUAACAAACUUCUAAUAAAAGAAUCUUCUUACUCUAA